This 1372-nucleotide ribosomal RNA is filed under the name uncultured bacterium. RNAcentral describes it as "bacterial SSU rRNA". It matches the Rfam family "Bacterial small subunit ribosomal RNA", at positions 28 to 1381 of the family's 1533-position model. The record is from RNAcentral.
GAUGAACGCUGGCGGCGUGCCUAAUACAUGCAAGUCGAGCGAACGGACGAGAAGCUUGCUUCUCUGAUGUUAGCGGCGGACGGGUGAGUAACACGUGGAUAACCUACCUAUAAGACUGGGGUAACUUCGGGAAACCGGAGCUAAUACCGGAUAAUAUUUUGAACCGCAUGGUUCAAAAGUGAAAGACGGUCUUGCUGUCACUUAUAGAUGGAUCCGCGCUGCAUUAGCUAGUUGGUAAGGUAACGGCUUACCAAGGCAACGAUGCAUAGCCGACCUGAGAGGGUGAUCGGCCACACUGGAACUGAGACACGGUCCAGACUCCUACGGGAGGCAGCAGUAGGGAAUCUUCCGCAAUGGGCGAAAGCCUGACGGAGCAACGCCGCGUGAGUGAUGAAGGUCUUCGGAUCGUAAAACUCUGUUAUUAGGGAAGAACAUAUGUGUAAGUAACUGUGCACAUCUUGACGGUACCUAAUCAGAAAGCCACGGCUAACUACGUGCCAGCAGCCGCGGUAAUACGUAGGUGGCAAGCGUUAUCCGGAAUUAUUGGGCGUAAAGCGCGCGUAGGCGGUUUUUUAAGUCUGAUGUGAAAGCCCACGGCUCAACCGUGGAGGGUCAUUGGAAACUGGAAAACUUGAGUGCAGAAGAGGAAAGUGGAAUUCCAUGUGUAGCGGUGAAAUGCGCAGAGAUAUGGAGGAACACCAGUGGCGAAGGCGACUUUCUGGUCUGUAACUGACGCUGAUGUGCGAAAGCGUGGGGAUCAAACAGGAUUAGAUACCCUGGUAGUCCACGCCGUAAACGAUGAGUGCUAAGUGUUAGGGGGUUUCCGCCCCUUAGUGCUGCAGCUAACGCAUUAAGCACUCCGCCUGGGGAGUACGACCGCAAGGUUGAAACUCAAAGGAAUUGACGGGGACCCGCACAAGCGGUGGAGCAUGUGGUUUAAUUCGAAGCAACGCGAAGAACCUUACCAAAUCUUGACAUCCUUUGACAACUCUAGAGAUAGAGCCUUCCCCUUCGGGGGACAAAGUGACAGGUGGUGCAUGGUUGUCGUCAGCUCGUGUCGUGAGAUGUUGGGUUAAGUCCCGCAACGAGCGCAACCCUUAAGCUUAGUUGCCAUCAUUAAGUUGGGCACUCUAAGUUGACUGCCGGUGACAAACCGGAGGAAGGUGGGGAUGACGUCAAAUCAUCAUGCCCCUUAUGAUUUGGGCUACACACGUGCUACAAUGGACAAUACAAAGGGCAGCGAAACCGCGCGGUCAAGCAAAUCCCAUAAAGUUGUUCUCAGUUCGGAUUGUAGUCUGCAACUCGACUACAUGAAGCUGGAAUCGCUAGUAAUCGUAGAUCAGCAUGCUACGGUGAAUACGUUCCCGGGUCU